Long non-coding RNA from Malaya genurostris, 979 nucleotides. RefSeq lists it as uncharacterized. NCBI's taxonomy places the organism in Eukaryota, Metazoa, Arthropoda, Insecta, Diptera, Culicidae. The transcript is spliced from 3 exons. The record is from RefSeq and is a predicted model, not a curated record.
CCAGACACUCCGAAGAAAAAUCGGAAUAAAAAGUGUUCGUGAGCGAUUUACCACCAGUUACCAUAAAUAUAGCGACCCCUUGAAAAUGACAAAAACUAACUAUUCGAGCAACACUGUUUAAGUUGCUAUGAGCUAGUUACCAAGGAGCACCCGAAUAAAUAAACAAACAGUUUGAAACAGUUGUGGAAAAAUUCCACAUUUCAUGAUUAUUCAAAAUCAUUUACAAAAAACUGCAAAAAAAAUAAUUCAUUCGAGGGCUGAACUGUAUAUAAAGUUUGUCAAACGCCGAUGCUUGUUCGAUCUCAGAAAAAGAUAUCAUGAUGGAUUGGUUAGUAUCAUUACUAGUGAAGUUCUCUGGAGCGAUUUGUCAAAAAGUCUACAUUCAAUCGGCUGACACCUAUCCGCAUACGCAUGGCUGCCAGACGGCUGACUAAACGCUGCCAGCUGGAAAAAUAUAGCUGGCAGACAUUCUGGUGACCGACUGCCUCACCGCUGGCAGUUAUACAACUCAAACGAUACAACCGUAUCCACCAGGAUUUUUCCACAUUGAAAUCUUUGACAUUUUCAGCGAAGGUGAGAAGAUGAAAACGCUCGGCUAACUUAGAUACAGGCGACAUUGUUUUGUCAAAUAGGAUUUGACAACCGUCACUGAAUCAAUUUUGGUAGCCGUCUGGUGGCCAUGGCUGCCCAGGUAGCCAAAACGCUAUGCGGGUAGCGAAGUCCGGACAAUUCGUUGCGUUUUACAGGCUGGACUUCAAAAUAGACGACAUAAAAAGUUGAAACUUUAAACGAGGAAUGUAAGUAUUUCUGGGAACGUUAUGAAAGUGAUAAAUGCUUAGUUAGAUGAAUAUAUUCCCUCUGAAGAUAACACACGAUAAGUUUUUUAUUGCCUUAAACAACCGAAAUCAAUUUUUUGGUGGUGAAUAAUUUGCGUUGCCGGUACGGUACGCCACUACGAAUUACAUAUUCGUUAUGAGAC